UACGUAGGGAGCGAGCGUUGUCCGGAUUUAUUGGGCGUAAAGAGCUCGUAGGCGGUUUGGUAAGUCGGGUGUGAAAGCUCCGGGCUCAACUCGGAGAGGUCACUCGAUACUGCCAUGACUGGAGUCCGGUAGGGGGGUGUGGAAUUCCCAGUGUAGCGGUGAAAUGCGUAGAUAUUGGGAGGAACACCAGUGGCGAAGGCGGCUUACUGGACCGGUUCUGACGCUGAGGCGCGAAAGCGUGGGGAGCAAACGGG
This 254-nucleotide ribosomal RNA is filed under the name uncultured bacterium. RNAcentral's name for it is "partial 16S ribosomal RNA". It matches the Rfam family "Bacterial small subunit ribosomal RNA", at positions 524 to 776 of the family's 1533-position model. The record is from RNAcentral.